UUCCCUCAGGAUAGCUGGAACUAUGUUGUAAACAGUUUCAUCGGGUAAAGCGAAUGAUUAGAGGAUUUGGGGUCGAAACGGCCUUAACCUAUUCUCAAACUUUAAAUAGGUGAGACGGGCCCGUUGCUUGAUUGAACGGGUCUCUCGAAUGGAAAGUUCCAAGUGGGCCGUUUCUGGUAAGCAGGACUGGCGAUGCGGGAUGAACCGAACGUCGGGUUAAAGUGCCUAAAUGCACGCUCAUCAGACACCAGAAAAGGUGUCGAUUCAUUUUGACAGCAGGACGGUGGCCAUGGAAGUCGGAAUCCGCUAAGGAGUGUGUAACAACUCACCUGCCGAAUGAAUCGGCCCUGAAAAUGGAUGGCGCUCAAGCGUGCUACUUAUACCCGACCUCAGGGCAAAUGCGAGGCCUUGAAGAGUAGGAGGACGUGGGGAUUGUGACGCAGCCUCUGGGCGUGAGCCCGGGUGAAACGGUCUCUAGUGCAGAUCUUGGUGGUAGUAGCAAGUAAUCAAAUGGGAACUUUGAUGGCUGAAGUGGCGAAUGGUUCCGUGUGAACAGCAAUUGGACACGGGUGAGUCGAUCCUGAGAGAUAGGGUAACUCCGUUAUAAAGGUGCGGCAUCCGGACUCGUCUGCGCCGCCAACUAUCGAAAGGGAAGCCGGUUAAUAUUCCGGCACCGGAGCUCGGAUAUACUACGGUAAUGUGGCAACACAAGCGAACCUCGAGACGUCGGCGGAGGCCCUGGGAAGAGUUCUCUUUUCUUUUUAACGGCCCCAAAUACCAUUGCGGACAGACCCUGGAAUCGGAUUAACCGGAGAUAGGGUUCGAUGGCCGGCAAAGCGUCGCAGCUUCUGCGGCGUCCGGUGCGCCUCCGACGGCCCUUGAAAAUCGAGGGGAAAGAUUUAUUUUCGAGCCCGGUCGUACACAUAACCGCAUCAGGUCGCCAAGGUGAAUAGCCUCUAGUCGAUAGAAUAAUGUAGGUAAGGGAAGUCGGCAAAUUGGAUCCGUAACUUCGGGAUAAGGAUUGGCUCUGAGGUUCUAGGUGAGUCGGGCUUGUCAGAGAAGCGGUCGGUUCUUGUGUCGGAUGCCGGGCCUGGGUGAGGUCGAGCCGCAAGGCGAGAUCAAUCCCGGUCCCAGCGCUUCGGCCUACCCCGUGGACCUUUCAAGCUUCAGGGGGCCGUGGAUCACGGCGGCUGGGCAACUGGCCGUCCCGCGCGUCUCCUACGGCCACCAUCUAAAGAACAACUUAGAACUGGCACUGACCAGGGGAAUCCGACUGUCUAAUUAAAACAAAGCAUCGCGAUGGCCCGGGACGGGUGUUGACGCGAUGUGAUUUCUGCCCAGUGCUCUGAAUGUCAACGUGAAGAAAUUCAAGCAAGCGCGGGUAAACGGCAGGAGUAACUAUGACUCUUUUAAGGUAGCCAAAUGCCUCGUCAUCUAAUUAGUGACGCGCAUGAAUGGAUUAACGAGAUUCUCACUGUCCCUAUCUACUAUCUAGCGAAACCACAGCCAAGGGAACGGGCUUGGAAAAUCAGCGGGGAAAGAAGACCCUGUUGAGCUUGACUCUAGUCAGACUUUGUUGGUUCACUUGAGAGGUGUAGCAUAAGUGGGAGAUGUAAAAGUCGUCGAUGAAAUACCACUACUCUUGAUGUGAAUUGACUGAUUUCGUGAGUUUGAAUAUAGGUGUUAAAACCUUGUUUCUAGUGUGAAGUAUUUUUU
Molecule: ribosomal RNA, 1716 nt
Filed under: Poa pratensis (Kentucky bluegrass)
Lineage: Eukaryota; Viridiplantae; Streptophyta; Magnoliopsida; Poales; Poaceae
Description: eukaryotic LSU rRNA
Rfam family: Eukaryotic large subunit ribosomal RNA
Source: RNAcentral